UGAGGAAUCUUCCACAAUGGGGGCAACCCUGAUGGAGCAACGCCGCGUGAAGGAUGAAGGUCUUAGGAUCGUAAACUUCUUUUAUGAAUGAAGAAUAUGACAGUAGUUCAUGAAUAAGCACCGGCUAACUACGUGCCAGCAGCCGCGGUCAUACGUAGGGUGCAAGCAUUAUCCGGAGUGUCUGGGCGUAACGAGUUGCGUAGGCGGUUAUAUAAGUGAAUAGUGAAACCUGGUGGCUCAACCAUACAGACUAUUAUUCAAACUGUAUAACUCGAGAAUGGUAGAGGUAACUGGAAUUUCUUGUGUAGGAGUGGAAUCCGUAGAUAUAAGAAGGAACACCAAUGGCGUAGGCAGGUUACUGGACCAUUUCUGACGCUAAGGCACGAAAGCGUGGGGAGCGAACC
This 404-nucleotide ribosomal RNA is filed under the name uncultured prokaryote. Its description in RNAcentral is "bacterial SSU rRNA". It matches the Rfam family "Bacterial small subunit ribosomal RNA", at positions 355 to 774 of the family's 1533-position model. The record is from RNAcentral.